GCUGGCUCUACAUAUAGCCUUAUUAUUCUUACCGUAUUCUUCACACAAUGGGUAGGUACGAACUCCACUAGUACUACUCCAGGCUUUGGGGCUUGGCGCUCCCUCAACUCUAAUACCCCCAAACACAGGUGCGAGUACACUAGCUGAAGACGGAGCUGGAACUAAAAAUCUCCGACCAUACUGAGAACUACUACCACCUUGAGACCCCGAC
RNAcentral lists this long non-coding RNA (211 nucleotides) under Capsicum annuum. RNAcentral's name for it is "long non-coding RNA (CANN_LNC006794)". Lineage: Eukaryota; Viridiplantae; Streptophyta; Magnoliopsida; Solanales; Solanaceae. The record is from RNAcentral.